AUCGUGAAAGACCGCAUGACCAGGACAUUCUCAUGGAGACGCUCAGAAAUUGCUGAGGGAAUUUCUGUGGAGGACCUGUUGAAAAAAUAUCCAUUUCUUUCAACACCCUCUGGGUUGUAUGAUGAGGUGGACUGCAUUCAUCCUGCCCCAGUUCCAGUAGACAGGCGCAUCAUAGAGAACUUAACUUCCCUGCUUCCUAAACUUACUAAAUUAGUGAAGGACACAUCACCUCUUAAACAAGUCUACCUAGAUGCAAAACGUGAUGCCCUGACUGUGGACCAUGCAGCUAUUGACACCAGGGGUGGACUUCUCCUCUUGCCAUCGAUCUUUAAAGAGAAAAUCGAGAACUUGAUCAUUCUUGGACAGAAUGAGCCGGCCACCCCGCACCCAACUAUUAGGCUGAGGGACCAUGAUUGGAAGACUGCUAUUGUUGACAGAGCUGAAACCAUCAUCGAAGUUGACGGGGUUAGGAUGUGCUCCUGUAUUGGUGUUGAAGAGGCUUUCCGAGCAGUGUUCUGCAUGUACUUCGUUUUCAAUAUGGAGUACCCUGCUCAAUUGAAAAACACAUUCAUAUUUUUUCAGAGGUGCAUUGCACAGAUAGUGGUGGCUGGAGACAAGCUGUCAACACCAGUGACUCGCCUUAUUAACCUCCUAUACUGAAAUGCCGCCAUUAUAUCAGUGUACGAAGUGCCGCCGCAGAACUUUCACUCUUACUAAACUUAUUCAGCAUAUUGGACUUGUCCAUGCCCACGAACCUAAUUUUAGGUUAGCUUGUUUGUUUACUUAAAAUAUUUUGUCUAAAUGUCAAUGUUCAAGCUUUGGUCAAAAUUGUAUGUCCACUGUCUUUUGACAAUUAUUUACAUGUUCUAUUUUCUGCAGAAAUGUCAUUUACUGAGAGAUUUUCACAUUGGGAAAAGGUGUUUAAAACAUCAAUGUCAUGUCUAUGAAUUUGAAUUGUGUUAGUAUUGAUAUUGUGUGUUGAUUGACCAUCUAUAUACAUGUUUAUUGCAUUAUUAUUAAUCUUGUGUUAUGUGUAUCCAGCCUACUUGUAUAUCCAGUUGAUGAAAUCAUAUGAUGUGAAUAUAAAUGUACAUACAUUUUAUAGAAUAAGACAGUUAAAUAUUGUGUUAUGGGUUGACCAUUUGUAUGAAUACUUGUAUAUCCAGUUGAUGAAAUUAUAUGUGUAU
Molecule: long non-coding RNA, 1187 nt
Organism: Eleginops maclovinus (Patagonian blennie)
Lineage: Eukaryota; Metazoa; Chordata; Actinopteri; Perciformes; Eleginopidae
Exons: 4
Source: RefSeq, a predicted model, not a curated record